UCAGAUGGUUGGAGCACCGCUUUGUUCUUCGGAAUAAAGAGGAAAGUCCGGGCUCCUUAAAGGAAGGAUGCUGGCUAACGGCCAGCGGGGGCGACCCUAGGGAAAGUGCCACAGAAAAUAUACCGCCGUAAGGUAAGGGUGAAAUGGUGCGGUAAGAGCGCACCGCAUUCUUGGUGACAAGAAUGGCAGGGCAAACCCCAUCCGGAGCAAGACCAAAUAGGAACAGCGUAUAGCCCGCCUUGAGGUUGUUGUUCGGGUAGGUUGCACGAGCUAAACAGUAAUGUUUGGCCUAGAUGAAUGGUGCUCACUCUAGUAAUAGAGACAGAACCCGGCUUAUAGACCAUCUGAUAUC
Molecule: RNase P RNA, 352 nt
Filed under: Alphaproteobacteria bacterium GWA1_45_9
Lineage: Bacteria; Pseudomonadati; Pseudomonadota; Alphaproteobacteria
Also listed under: 3 other names
Description: RNase P RNA component class A
Rfam family: Bacterial RNase P class A
About the family: Ribonuclease P (RNase P) is a ubiquitous endoribonuclease, found in archaea, bacteria and eukarya as well as chloroplasts and mitochondria.
Source: RNAcentral